RNAcentral lists this ribosomal RNA (253 nucleotides) under uncultured bacterium. Its description in RNAcentral is "partial 16S ribosomal RNA". It matches the Rfam family "Bacterial small subunit ribosomal RNA", at positions 524 to 776 of the family's 1533-position model. The record is from RNAcentral.
UACAGAGGGUGCGAGCGUUAAUCGGAAUUACUGGGCGUAAAGCGCGCGUAGGCGGUUAUACAAGUUGGGUGUGAAAUCCCUGGGCUUAACCUAGGAAUUGCAUUCAAAACUAUAUGACUUGAGUGAGGUAGAGGUAAGUGGAAUUUCCGGAGUAGCGGUGAAAUGCGUAGAUACCGGAAGGAACACCAGUGGCGAAGGCGACUUACUGGGCCUUAACUGACGCUGAGGUGCGAAAGCGUGGGGAGCAAACAGG